RNAcentral lists this ribosomal RNA (729 nucleotides) under Salmonella enterica. RNAcentral's name for it is "partial 23S ribosomal RNA". It matches the Rfam family "Bacterial large subunit ribosomal RNA", at positions 680 to 1405 of the family's 2925-position model. The record is from RNAcentral. Lineage: Bacteria; Pseudomonadati; Pseudomonadota; Gammaproteobacteria; Enterobacterales; Enterobacteriaceae. RNAcentral also lists the same sequence under 1 other name.
AGUCUUAACCGGGCGUUAAGUUGCAGGGUAUAGACCCGAAACCCGGUGAUCUAGCCAUGGGCAGGUUGAAGGUUGGGUAACACUAACUGGAGGACCGAACCGACUAAUGUUGAAAAAUUAGCGGAUGACCUGUGGCUGGGGGUGAAAGGCCAAUCAAACCGGGAGAUAGCUGGUUCUCCCCGAAAGCUAUUUAGGUAGCGCCUCGUGAAUUCAUCUCCGGGGGUAGAGCACUGUUUCGGCUAGGGGGCCAUCCCGGCUUACCAACCCGAUGCAAACUGCGAAUACCGGAGAAUGUUAUCACGGGAGACACACGGCGGGUGCUAACGUCCGUCGUGAAGAGGGAAACAACCCAGACCGCCAGCUAAGGUCCCAAAGUCAUGGUUAAGUGGGAAACGAUGUGGGAAGGCCCAGACAGCCAGGAUGUUGGCUUAGAAGCAGCCAUCAUUUAAAGAAAGCGUAAUAGCUCACUGGUCGAGUCGGCCUGCGCGGAAGAUGUAACGGGGCUAAACCAUGCACCGAAGCUGCGGCAGCGACGCUUAUGCGUUGUUGGGUAGGGGAGCGUUCUGUAAGCCUGUGAAGGUGUGUCGUGAGGCAUGCUGGAGGUAUCAGAAGUGCGAAUGCUGACAUAAGUAACGAUAAAGCGGGUGAAAAGCCCGCUCGCCGGAAGACCAAGGGUUCCUGUCCAACGUUAAUCGGGGCAGGGUGAGUCGACCCCUAAGGCGAGGCCGA